Molecule: long non-coding RNA, 631 nt
Filed under: Bos indicus x Bos taurus (hybrid cattle)
Lineage: Eukaryota; Metazoa; Chordata; Mammalia; Artiodactyla; Bovidae
Description: lncRNA (ENSBIXG00000009817.1)
Source: RNAcentral
AUGGGGGAAAAUGAAAAAAAAAAAUCAAAUAUAUAUAUUUUUUAUGUUGGAGGCAUUUCUGCUGCUCCUUGGCAGGAAGGAAAGAAGGAGAAUGUUAACGGGUAUUCUUUCUUCCAAAGUGCACCGCGUAUAGGAAGGACGCGAGCAUCAAUAUUUCAUCCUUGCUUCGCCUGCCAGCAUCCCGCUCCCUCCUCCCUGCUUCUCACCGGCUCUAGGACCCGGAGAGCUGGGCCACACUGGCCUGACCCAGGGCGUCAUCACAGAUGUCCACGCUGCCUUCAGCUUGCCCGCCGUGCCAUCGUGGACUCCAGAGUCUGCGCAAGAAGCCGCCCUUCUGAACCAGGUGUCGUUGGCUUUUUCCCACCUCCCAGGCCUAGGCAGGUGGAUAAAGGAAGCAGCGUGGGUGUUCAGGAGCACACAUCCCUCCGGCCAGCCCCCAGCCCGUCUCAUCUCGUCCACUUGAGGUCACAGAGGAAUGCGCUGUGCUCUGCCAGGGGGUCCUGGCAGAGUGUGGAGCUGGGAUGGAAGCAGUUACUCUCAGGAGGACUUUGGGCAGACUGUGGUCCUUUCUCAGGCUGGUGGCCAGCUCUUCAUUUCUGUGUUGGGACUGGGGUUGAGGGUGCCUGCUGAC